UACGUAGGGUGCGAGCGUUAAUCGGAAUUACUGGGCGUAAAGCGUGCGCAGGCGGUGAGCUGUGUCCGAUGUGAAAGCCCCGGGCUUAACCUGGGAACCGCGCUUGAGACUGGCACGCUAGAGUUCGGGAGAGGAUGGUGGAAUUCCCAGUGUAGAGGUGAAAUUCGUAGAUAUUGGGAAGAACACCGAUGGCGAAGGCAGCCAUCUGGACCGACACUGACGCUGAGGCGCGAAAGCGUGGGGAGCAAACAGG
This 253-nucleotide ribosomal RNA is filed under the name uncultured bacterium. Its description in RNAcentral is "partial 16S ribosomal RNA". It matches the Rfam family "Bacterial small subunit ribosomal RNA", at positions 524 to 776 of the family's 1533-position model. The record is from RNAcentral.